Molecule: ribosomal RNA, 492 nt
Filed under: uncultured bacterium
Lineage: Bacteria
Description: partial 16S ribosomal RNA
Rfam family: Bacterial small subunit ribosomal RNA
Source: RNAcentral
GAUGAACGCUAGCUACAGGCUUAACACAUGCAAGUCGAGGGGAAACGACAUCGAAAGCUUGCUUUUGAUGGGCGUCGACCGGCGCACGGGUGAGUAACGCGUAUCCAACCUGCCCAUCACUUGGGAAUAACCUUGCGAAAGUAAGACUAAUACCCAAUGACAUCCCACGAAGACAUCUGAAUGGGAUUAAAGAUUUAUCGGUGAUGGAUGGGGAUGCGUCUGAUUAGCUUGUUGGCGGGGUAACGGCCCACCAAGGCAACGAUCAGUAGGGGUUCUGAGAGGCAGGUCCCCCACAUUGGAACUGAGACACGGUCCAAACUCCUACGGGAGGCAGCAGUGAGGAAUAUUGGUCAAUGGGCGAGAGCCUGAACCAGCCAAGUAGCGUGCAGGAGGACGGCCCUAUGGGUUGUAAACUGCUUUUAUAAGGGAAUAAAGUGGGUCUCGUGAGACUUUUUGCAUGUACCUUAUGAAUAAGGACCGGCUAAUUCCGUG